UCAUCAUUGAUUCAUUAUUCAUUACCAAAGUUGGAAGUGGAGUGAGUUUCCAUGGAGAUUAUGAGGGAUUAUUCAGGAGGACAUCAAGUAUUCCUUGGACUCAUCAAGAACAAGAUCUUCUGGCUUCCAGAACUGAAAUGAUGGAAUGUUGAGAAAAAAUUGAAAGUUAGAAAGCUAGAUGUGACUAGUUUUGCCAUCAUCUUGACGGUCUGGGUCAGAGGAAAAAUCAAGAAUGAAAAGCAUCUUUCUGCAUGACAGUUGGCUUUAAAUCUGACAGCUUCCCUCUUUCAGUUUCAGAUGCCUGAUUUCCUACUCAAAAUGAGGUCGUGGACAGCCUAGACCUACGAUGGGGUCUGAGGAUCUUCUCCUGGAAGUCCCAUGAACUACAUAGUGGCGCUACAAUUCACCCCCAGAAGGCAUGCAGAGAGGGCAUCUAGGAGAGACCCACUGCAACACUUGAAUGCACCAUCAAGUGAGCAAUUGGGAGGGUACUAUUUAUCCCUGACUCUUGCUGAAAUGUGAACCAAUAAAUAGGCUGUCAUCUAUCUGGUGGCA
This 555-nucleotide long non-coding RNA is filed under the name Monodelphis domestica (gray short-tailed opossum). Its description in RNAcentral is "lncRNA (ENSMODG00000039305.1)". Lineage: Eukaryota; Metazoa; Chordata; Mammalia; Didelphimorphia; Didelphidae. The record is from RNAcentral.